This 19-nucleotide ribosomal RNA is filed under the name Amanita aprica. Its description in RNAcentral is "partial 28S ribosomal RNA". The record is from RNAcentral. Lineage: Eukaryota; Fungi; Basidiomycota; Agaricomycetes; Agaricales; Amanitaceae.
UUGGCCUCAAAUCAGGUAG